This 253-nucleotide ribosomal RNA is filed under the name uncultured cyanobacterium. Its description in RNAcentral is "partial 16S ribosomal RNA". It matches the Rfam family "Bacterial small subunit ribosomal RNA", at positions 524 to 776 of the family's 1533-position model. Lineage: Bacteria; Bacillati; Cyanobacteriota. The record is from RNAcentral.
UACGUAGGGGGCAAGCGUUAUCCGGAUUUACUGGGUGUAAAGGGAGCGUAGACGGUGAUGCAAGUCAGAAGUGAAAGCCCGGGGCUCAACUCCGGUUCGGCAUUGGAUACUAUCUAGCUAGAAUGUGGUAGAGGUAAAGGGAAUUCCUGGUGUAGCGGUGAAAUGCGUAGAUAUCAGGAGGAACAUCGGUGGCGAAAGCGCUUUACUGGACCAUUAUUGACGCUGAGGAACGAAAGCCAGGGGAGCAAAUGGG